UCCACGUCGCCUUUGUGCCCACAGGCUAUGGCAUUCCAACACAGCCCGCCACUCUGGGCCCUCCAUCCCUGCAUCUAUCUGUAAACCAAUGUGUUUCUCCAAGAAGUGGGCUGCAACCUUGUGUUCAGGCAGCCUCGGACUGUGCCACAGACUUUAAAGGAAGAUGUCAGAUGUUGCUGGACUAGCCCUACAUGCUUCACACACACAUCAUUUGCAAAUAGACUACAGAUCACGGGGUUUCGGGGACACAAUGUCACCAGGGAGCAGACAUAAAGGACUACUUCCAGGCUGCAGGGUAAGAUUUUUAUGACUAGAAAAAUAGAGAAAAACCAUUCACUCUGGACAGAACUGGGUUUACUUUCUUGGACACCGUUUAAAGACAUGAAAACAAACACGUGAAACCAGGCAGAACAGUGGGUGGGAACCUUCCGUGGCUUUUUGCAGUUUAUUGUGACAGAUGGCACAGUCUGGAGUGACUGUUGGCCCUGCUUGUAUCCGAGUGUAAGUGGUUUGUCUUCCGAGGUGGCUCUUCUUGGUUGUCAGUCUGACUACAUCUGGAACUAACGAAAAUCCAAGAGGCGGGUACACCUGUGAAGAUUUUUCUUUUUUUCUUAAUUAAGUUAGUUGAAGGGGUAAGACCCACUUUUAAUCCAGAUCUUCUGAGGUGGGAAGACCCACCUUUGAUCUGAGCUACAUUCUGCUGACAGCCUGUUAGUUUGAAUGAAAUGGCCCCACAGGCUCACAGGAACUGGAGGUGUGGCCUUGUUGGAAGAAGUAUGUCACUGGGGGUGGGCUUUGAGGUCUGAACUGCUCAAGCCAGGCCCAGGAUAACAGUCUCUUCCUGAUGCCUGCUGAUCCAGAUGUAGACUUAUGAGCUUUUUUUCUAGCACUAUGUCUACCUGAAUGCCUCCAUGUUUCCUGCCAUGAUGAUAAUGGACUAAACCUCUGAAACUGUAAGCCAGCUUCACUGAAAUAUUUUCAUGGUGGUCAUAGUGUCUCUUCACAACAAUAGAAACCCUAGGACACAUCUGUAGAGAAGACACCCAUCCUGCUGCCUGUCUUGAGGUACAGGUGUGUAUCAGUGGAAGCCAGUAUGAUGUGAUGGAGAGAUGGGAGAGGAAGAGAAGUAGGAUGGUUUGAGCACUGUGAAGAGAAGUAGAACCAGAAACAAGAAAGUGGAGAGAAAUAGCCUGAUAAGUACUUAUGAUUUCCUCAAUCUGGAGAUACACUUGCCAUUAAUAACCCCUUCUCCGAGACCCUCUCAGAUAAAUUCAGCCUGACAUUCCUCUAAUAUGCAGGGCAGAGGAGGGCUCUGAGGACAAGAAGUAAUCCCUGCAUGAAUUAUAUCAAGCCAGCAUGUGAGAAAACAUCCACCCCACAAUUUAUGAAUUUUGAAUGCUACCAGGACCUGCUUUGGUAUGCUGAAGAUAGAGAGAACCUGUGCUCAAUUCCCAGCAUCCACAUGGCAGCUCACAACCAUCUGUUACUCCAGCCCCAGGAGAUCCAGCACCUUCUUCUGACCUCAGUAGACAUCAAGCAUACACAUGGUGCACAGACAUACAUUCAAGCAAAACACUCAUAUGCAUAAAAACAAAAUAAAUAAAUCUAAAAAGCAUUUGCUAUAUAAUUAUUUUGAUCAAAUCUUUGUAAACUUCAUACAUGCAUACAAUGUAUUUCGAUCAUGUUUACCCCUAAGUCUCCUAGAUCCACCCUCCAGAUCUCCCGAUGUUGAGGUCUGCUCUUUGUGGCAGUUGACACAUUUGCAGCCAUUUUUGUACUCAGCUUCCAUUUUGUUUACAAGGUGAAAUGAAGUUCAAACUUUUUAACUUACUUCUUAGAAGUAGUUAUCCAUAGCUGACACUAACAGACCCUGCCAGAGGGUCAAGUUAACCUUAUAUUUUACUAUGACUCGAUGGUGUCAUAAUUCAUGCUCUGUUAUCUCCACACUUGGCUACUCUCUGGUCCCACUCUUUGUUAUCUCUGCACUUGUCUGUACUCUGGAAGACCCUAACCACCACCUCACUUACCUCACUUGGGACCAAUCAGCUCAAAGGUUAGCUGAUAAUACUUUGCUUAGUUGGCCAAAAUGUGUUACAAUGUAUUACUGCACCCUCCCCCAUCUUCUAUGCUUGGUUUCCCUAUAAAAAGACUGCUCUAAGAACAGGUCAAUGUCACAGUUUGGCCGAGUCC
Molecule: long non-coding RNA, 2190 nt
Organism: Meriones unguiculatus (Mongolian gerbil)
Lineage: Eukaryota; Metazoa; Chordata; Mammalia; Rodentia; Muridae
Exons: 3
Source: RefSeq, a predicted model, not a curated record